Anthonomus grandis grandis is the source of this 627-nucleotide long non-coding RNA. RefSeq lists it as uncharacterized. The transcript has 2 exons. Lineage: Eukaryota; Metazoa; Arthropoda; Insecta; Coleoptera; Curculionidae. The record is from RefSeq and is a predicted model, not a curated record.
GAUAUAUGUGGCAGCCUACAGAUGUUGGCGUACAGAAAUGGACAAUUGGGGGGGCACCGGUUAAUAAAUAUAUGUUUUUUGUGUUUUAUUUUUUUAUUUUGUUUUUAUUUUCUUUUUUUAAUAAUAUGGUGCUACCCCUUUUGCUCCGGAGGGCAGAGCAAGAGGUGGACAUAAGAAAAAGACGAGAACAUGUGCACGAGCCCGUGAGAUCCUGCGGGUGUGCAAAUCGUACCCGGUUUGCUAGGGGUGCAAGACAGUGGUACUAUCAAAGCUACUGCAAUUUGUGAUAGUCCUAGUGCCUGAAAGUUUGAAAAUUAGGGACUUAAGGGAAUUGUUCGAAGGGUACUUACGUAGUUGCAUACGCUCGCCACCAGGAUCCAUGUUUUGGAACAAUUGAAUGGGAAAGGACUCAUUUUUGACCAGGAAUUGAACGAAAAUUUAAUAAAUGUCCAGACAUAACCUCUCAUUUCACCUGCCUAGUACCUUUUUUUCGACUUUUAAUCUUCAGAUCGUUAUUGAACCGAUUAUGAAAUUUAGGAGUCCACAUGACUAAUUGUGAAAAUUUAACAUGGAAAUAGGAAAAACUGUUGUACGAUUAUUAAUAAAAAUCAUAUAUUAAUACUGGUU